CACGAACUGUUCCUGUAUCCUCUAAUGAUACACCUCCCAGCGCCUUGCAGGAGGCAGCACCGCUGACCUCCUCAAUGGACCCUCUGCCUGUCUUCCUUUAUCCCCCUGUCCAGCGCAGCAUCCAGAAGAGAGCUGUUAGGAAAAUGUCAGCGCCUUCUUCUAAGUGCUGGGCGGGUGGGGACUGGGUGGCCAGGAUUAUUCCUGAUACACACUGCAAUCUGGUAGCUUUUUAGCAGGGUUUGUUUGAAAAUCCUACAUUUUGGGGACCCCUGAGGCAGUAAUGAGAAUUCUUUUUUUUUCCCCACAGGAGUGUCAUGGGCCGGCAGACAUGCCUGGAGUGCAGCUUCGAGAUCCCAGACUUCCCUAAUCAUUUCCCUACUUACGUACACUGCUCUCUGUGUCGCUAUAGCACCUGCUGCUCCCGAGCUUAUGCCAACCACAUGAUCAACAAUCAUGUUCCACGGAAGAGCCCCAAGUAUUUGGCUUUGUUUAAAAAUUCUGU
Molecule: small RNA, 502 nt
Filed under: Pongo abelii (Sumatran orangutan)
Lineage: Eukaryota; Metazoa; Chordata; Mammalia; Primates; Hominidae
Description: retained intron
Source: RNAcentral